GGCUCCAUAAUGUAGUGGUUAGCACAUCUGCUUUACACGCAGAAGGUCCUGAGUUUGCAUCCCAGGUGGAGCCA
Molecule: transfer RNA, 74 nt
Filed under: Pteropus alecto (black flying fox)
Lineage: Eukaryota; Metazoa; Chordata; Mammalia; Chiroptera; Pteropodidae
Also listed under: 1 other name
Rfam family: tRNA
About the family: Transfer RNA (tRNA) molecules are approximately 80 nucleotides in length.
Source: Rfam by way of RNAcentral